RNAcentral lists this small RNA (61 nucleotides) under Caulobacter vibrioides NA1000. RNAcentral describes it as "small non-coding RNA". Lineage: Bacteria; Pseudomonadati; Pseudomonadota; Alphaproteobacteria; Caulobacterales; Caulobacteraceae. The record is from RNAcentral.
GCGCGAAGCGCCGGAGGGGGAACAAGUCCUGGCCCGGCCUCUUCCCCCUCCGUCGUCUCUU